GUGACAUGAAGAGUUUGAUCCUUGCUCAGGAUUAACGCUGGCGGUAUGCAUAACACAUGCAAGUUGAACGGACUCGUUUUAUAAAAUGAGUUAGUAGCAGACGGGUGAGUAAUAUGUGAGAAUCUACGUUUAGGUGGGGGAUAACUUAUAGAAAUAUUUGUUAAUACCCCAUAAUUGUGCUAUAAAGUAAAAAUUUUUUGCCUAAACAUGAGCUUGCAUCUGAUUAGUUUGUUGGUUGGGUAAUGGCUUACCAAGACUUUGAUCAGUAGCUGAUUUGAGAGAAUGGUCAGCCACACUGGAAUUGAGAACGGAACAGACUCCUAUGGGAGGCAGCAGUGGGGAAUUUUCCGCAAUGAGUGAAAACUUGACGGAGCAAUACCGCGUGUAGGAAGAAGGCUGUAUUAGUUGUAAACUUCUUUUUUCAAAAAAGAAUAAGUGACGUUAUUUGAAGAAUAAGCAUCGGCUAAUUCCGUGCCAGCAGCCGCGGUAAUACGGGGGAUGCAAGUGUUAUCCGGAAUUAUUGGGCGUAAAGGGUCAGGAGGUGGUAUUAUGUGUUUAAUGUUAAAUGUUAAAGCUUAACUUUAUAAAGGCAUUGAAAACUGUAAUACUAGAGUAUGGUAGAGGUAAAGGGAAUUUCCAGUGUAGCGGUGAAAUGCGUAAAUAUUGGAAAGAACACCAAAGGCGAAGGCACUUUGCUAGGCCAAUACUGACAUUGAGAGACUAAAGCUAAGGUAGCAAACAGGAUUAGAUACCCUGGUAGUCUUAGCCGUAAACUAUGGAUACUAAGUUAUGAAGAUUCUGUAUUUAUAUGUGUUAGAUAUAUAUAUAGAUAUGAGGAUGCAUUUCUAAAGUUAACACGUUAAGUAUCCCGCCUGGGGAGUAUUCUUGCAAAAGUGAAACUCAAAGGAAUUGACGGGGGCCCGCACAAGCGGUGGAGCAUGUGGUUUAAUUCGAUGCAACACGAAAAACCUUACCAAGACUUGACAUGCUAGAGUAAAUGAUUAUUAUUAAUCAUGUAAUUAAAAAAUCUAGGCACAGGUGGUGCAUGGCUGUCGUCAGCUCGUAUCGUGAGAUGUAUGGUUUAGUCCUAUAACGAGCGCAACCCUUAUCUUUAGUUAAAUUUGUAUAUUAAAGAAACUGCUGUUGACAAAUCAGAGGAAGGAGAGGAUGACGUCAAGUCAUCAUGCCCUUUAUGUCUUGGGCUACACACGUGCUACAAUGGUUAAGACAAUUAGUUGCAAACUUGUAAAAGUGAGCUAAUCUAUAAACUUAAUCUAAGUUCGGAUUGUAGGCUGAAACUCGUCUACAUGAAGUUGGAAUCGCUAGUAAUCGCCGGUCAGCUAUACGGCGGUGAAUAUGUUCUCGGGCCUUGUACACACCGCCCGUCACACCAAGGAAGUUAGUUGUGUUUGAUAUUGUUUUUUUAACCUUUUGGGAAAUGAUAAUUAGGGCCUGGCUGGUGACCGUGGUGAAGUCGUAACAAGGUAGCCGUACUGGAAGGUGCGGCUGGAAAAAUGUUUU
This 1521-nucleotide ribosomal RNA is filed under the name Euglena longa. Its description in RNAcentral is "bacterial SSU rRNA". It matches the Rfam family "Bacterial small subunit ribosomal RNA". Lineage: Eukaryota; Euglenozoa; Euglenophyceae; Euglenales; Euglenaceae. The record is from RNAcentral.